UACAGAGGCCCCAAGCAUUAUCCGGAAUCACUGGGCGUAAAGGGUGUGUAGGCGGUCAUAUUAGUCUUUCGUGAAAGCUUUUGGGCUUAACCCAGAAAACGCGGGGGAAACGGUAUGGCUACGAGGACGUAAGAGGUAAAGGGAACUCAUGGUGUAGGGGUGAAAUCCGUUGAUAUCAUGGGGAACACCAAAUGCGAAGGCACUUUACUGGUACGUUCCUGACGCUGAAACACGAAAGCGUGGGAAUCGAACGGG
RNAcentral lists this ribosomal RNA (255 nucleotides) under uncultured bacterium. RNAcentral describes it as "partial 16S ribosomal RNA". It matches the Rfam family "Bacterial small subunit ribosomal RNA", at positions 524 to 776 of the family's 1533-position model. The record is from RNAcentral.